AACUGCUCCUUGUGAAUGGUACUGGCAUUCUUUAUAAUAAAAGUGGAUUCUGAUUGAGCUGUAACGGCCAUAGUGGCAAAGUACGACUGUGAUCUAAUCUUAUAUGAUUUAUAUGGCCUACAAUGGUGAAGUAUAGUCAUGAUCAUUAGUUUAUCUCUGAGAUAUCUAAUAUUGAAAUGAAUAUGUUUGCCCAUUCACAGUGUUAGUUGUGGAUUCCUUUUGCCCUUAAUUGAUACAGGUUAGAACAGUUUCGUGCGAAGAUCUAUAAAAGAUGUAAAUAAAAUUGAAACACUUAAUGAUAUGACUAGAAUAGUUAUUUGAUUUCCCAUGCUUUAGUAGUUACCUUGAAAUGAGUAUGUUUCUCACUAUUUUGCCAUGACUUUGUCGUACUUUUAGUUGGUUUAACUAGUUUCUAUUUCAUUGCCUCGU
Molecule: long non-coding RNA, 429 nt
Filed under: Carica papaya (papaya)
Lineage: Eukaryota; Viridiplantae; Streptophyta; Magnoliopsida; Brassicales; Caricaceae
Description: long non-coding RNA (CPAP_LNC009017)
Source: RNAcentral